AUUGAACGCUGGCGGCAGGCCUAACACAUGCAAGUCGAGCGGAUGAAGGGAGCUUGCUCCUGGAUUCAGCGGCGGACGGGUGAGUAAUGCCUAGGAAUCUGCCUGGUAGUGGGGGAUAACGUCCGGAAACGGGCGCUAAUACCGCAUACGUCCCGAGGGAGAAAGUGGGGGAUCUUCGGACCUCACGCUAUCAGAUGAGCCUAGGUCGGAUUAGCUAGUUGGUGGGGUAAAGGCCUACCAAGGCGACGAUCCGUAACUGGUCUGAGAGGAUGAUCAGUCACACUGGAACUGAGACACGGUCCAGACUCCUACGGGAGGCAGCAGUGGGGAAUAUUGGACAAUGGGCGAAAGCCUGAUCCAGCCACGCCGCGUGUGUGAAGAAGGUCUUCGGAUUGUAAAGCACUUUAAGUUGGGAGGAAGGGCAGUAAGUUAAUACCUUGCUGUUUUGACGUUACCAACAGAAUAAGCACCGGCUAACUUCGUG
This 484-nucleotide ribosomal RNA is filed under the name uncultured bacterium. RNAcentral's name for it is "partial 16S ribosomal RNA". It matches the Rfam family "Bacterial small subunit ribosomal RNA", at positions 30 to 507 of the family's 1533-position model. The record is from RNAcentral.